GUGCCAGCCGCCGCGGUAAUACGGAGGGUGCAAGCGUUAUCCGGAUUUACUGGGUUUAAAGGGUGUGUAAGGCGGACUUUUAAGUCAGGGUGAAAUCCGAGGCUCAACCUCGGAACUGCCUUUGAUACUAUUAGUCUUGAAUUAUGUUGAGGUUGGCGGAAUAUAACAUGUAGCGGUGAAAUGCAUAGAUAUGUUAUAGAACACCGAUUGCGAAGGCAGCUGGCUAAACAUAUAUUGACGCUGAGGCACGAAAGCGUGGUAGCGAACAGGAUUAGAUACCCCUGGUAGUCCACGCCCUAAACGAUGAUUACUCGUCAUUUGUGAUACACAAUAAGUGACCAAG
RNAcentral lists this ribosomal RNA (343 nucleotides) under uncultured bacterium. Its description in RNAcentral is "bacterial SSU rRNA". It matches the Rfam family "Bacterial small subunit ribosomal RNA", at positions 505 to 851 of the family's 1533-position model. The record is from RNAcentral.